Molecule: ribosomal RNA, 275 nt
Rfam family: Bacterial small subunit ribosomal RNA
CCUACGGGUGGCUGCAGUGGGGAAUCUUCCGCAAUGGACGAAAGUCUGACGGAGCAACGCCGCGUGAGUGAAGAAGGUUUUCGGAUCGUAAAGCUCUUUCGUUAGGGACGAACGUGCUCUUUGUGAAUAAUGAGGAGUAAUGACGGUACCUAAAUAAGAAGCCACGGCUAACUACGUGCCAGCAGCCGCGGUAAUACGUAGGUGGCAAGCGUUGUCCGGAAUUAUUGGGCGUAAAGCGCGCGCAGGCGGGAUAUCAAGUCUGUCUUAAAAGUGCG